RNAcentral lists this long non-coding RNA (252 nucleotides) under Gallus gallus (chicken). The record is from RNAcentral. Lineage: Eukaryota; Metazoa; Chordata; Aves; Galliformes; Phasianidae.
UAGAUGCUCCCAUUGACUAGAGACCUCCCUGCCCAGUCUUCUCUCCAUCACAAAUUCAGCUGCUGAAUGGAUGGACUUCUACGGGUCAGAACUGAAGCUUGGGAUAGAGGUCAGUAGGUGUAGUCUCAAAUGUCGUAAGCCUGUCCACAAGUAAGUUGUAAUAGGUCAGAACAACGUCCUCUUUCCAAGUCCUGUCUGCUUCAUUUACAUCUUGGGUUGUAUAAAAGUAUCUGUACCCUAAUGUAUUUUCAC